Non-coding RNA from Mycena leptocephala, 97 nucleotides. Lineage: Eukaryota; Fungi; Basidiomycota; Agaricomycetes; Agaricales; Mycenaceae. The record is from the annotation of a GenBank genome assembly.
GACCCAGUGGUGAAAUGAAGCACAACUGCAACUCUUGGAUAAGAGCAGAAAUGCCAUGUGCUGGCGGAGGUUCCUGGUUCGAAUCCAGGCUGGGUCA